RNAcentral lists this ribosomal RNA (470 nucleotides) under Granulicatella adiacens. RNAcentral describes it as "bacterial SSU rRNA". It matches the Rfam family "Bacterial small subunit ribosomal RNA", at positions 28 to 479 of the family's 1533-position model. The record is from RNAcentral. Lineage: Bacteria; Bacillati; Bacillota; Bacilli; Lactobacillales; Carnobacteriaceae.
GACGAACGCUGGCGGCGUGCCUAAUACAUGCAAGUCGAACGAGAGCGACCGGUGCUUGCACUGGUCAAUCUAGUGGCGAACGGGUGAGUAACACGUGGGUAACCUGCCCAUCAGAGGGGGAUAACAUUCGGAAACGGAUGCUAAAACCGCAUAGGUCUUCGAACCGCAUGGUUUGAAGAGGAAAAGAGGCGCAAGCUUCUGCUGAUGGAUGGACCCGCGGUGCAUUAGCUAGUUGGUGAGGUAACGGCUCACCAAGGCCGUGAUGCAUAGCCGACCUGAGAGGGUGAUCGGCCACAUUGGGACUGAGACACGGCCCAAACUCCUACGGGAGGCAGCAGUAGGGAAUCUUCCGCAAUGGACGCAAGUCUGACGGAGCAACGCCGCGUGAGUGAAGAAGGUUUUCGGAUCGUAAAACUCUGUUGUUAGAGAAGAACAAGUGCUAGAGUAACUGUUAGCGCCUUGACGGUAUC